GCAAACUUGGUCAUUUAGAGGAAGUAAAAGUCGUAACAAGGUUUCCGUAGGUGAACCUGCGGAAGGAUCAUUACACGAAGAGGCCUCCAUCGGUCUUUCAACCUUGCCUAUCGUACCCUUUUUGUUGUUCCCUCGGCGGGGUAAAGCCCGCCGGCGGGAAGCUCCAAAAACCCUUUGCAAUCAGCAUCUAAAACUCUGAUAUACAAACCUAAUCGUUACAACUUUCAACAAUGGAUCUCUUGGUUCUGGCAUCGAUGAAGAACGCAGC
Molecule: unclassified non-coding RNA, 268 nt
Filed under: uncultured fungus
Lineage: Eukaryota; Fungi
Description: partial contains small subunit ribosomal RNA, internal transcribed spacer 1, and 5.8S ribosomal RNA
Rfam family: Eukaryotic small subunit ribosomal RNA (bases 1-73)
Source: RNAcentral